RNAcentral lists this ribosomal RNA (253 nucleotides) under uncultured bacterium. Its description in RNAcentral is "partial 16S ribosomal RNA". It matches the Rfam family "Bacterial small subunit ribosomal RNA", at positions 524 to 776 of the family's 1533-position model. The record is from RNAcentral.
UACGGAGGGUGCAAGCGUUAAUCGGAAUUACUGGGCGUAAAGCGCACGCAGGCGGUCAAUUAAGUCAGAUGUGAAAGCCCCGAGCUUAACUCGGGAAUUGCAUUUGAAACUGGUUAGCUUGAGUCUUGUAGAGGGAGGUAGAAUUCCAUGUGUAGCGGUGAAAUGCGUAGAGAUGUGGAAGAAUACCGGUGGCGAAGGCGGCCUCCUGGACUGACACUGACGCUCAGGUGCGAAAGCGUGGGGAGCAAACAGG